UUUUAUUUGAGAGUUUGAUCCUGGCUCAGGAUGAACGCUGGCGGCGUGCCUAACACAUGCAAGUUGAGCGAUUUACUUCGGUAAAGAGCGGCGGACGGGUGAGUAACGCGUGGGUAACCUACCCUGUACACACGGAUAACAUACCGAAAGGUAUGCUAAUACGGGAUAAUAUAUUUGAGAGGCAUCUCUUGAAUAUCAAAGGUGAGCCAGUACAGGAUGGACCCGCGUCUGAUUAGCUAGUUGGUAAGGUAACGGCUUACCAAGGCGACGAUCAGUAGCCGACCUGAGAGGGUGAUCGGCCACAUUGGAACUGAGACACGGUCCAAACUCCUACGGGAGGCAGCAGUGGGGAAUAUUGCACAAUGGGCGAAAGCCUGAUGCAGCAACGCCGCGUGAGUGAUGAAGGCCUUCGGGUCGUAAAACUCUGUCCUCAAGGAAGAUAAUGACGGUACUUGAGGAGGAAGCCCCGGCUAACUACGUGCCAGCAGCCGCGGUAAUACGUAGGGGGCUAGCGUUAUCCGGAUUUACUGGGCGUAAAGGG
RNAcentral lists this ribosomal RNA (541 nucleotides) under Clostridioides difficile. RNAcentral's name for it is "bacterial SSU rRNA". It matches the Rfam family "Bacterial small subunit ribosomal RNA", at positions 1 to 567 of the family's 1533-position model. Lineage: Bacteria; Bacillati; Bacillota; Clostridia; Peptostreptococcales; Peptostreptococcaceae. The record is from RNAcentral.